AUUGAACGCUGGCGGCAGGCCUAACACAUGCAAGUCGAGCGGAUGACGGGAGCUUGCUCCUUGAUUCAGCGGCGGACGGGUGAGUAAUGCCUAGGAAUCUGCCUGGUAGUGGGGGACAACGUUUCGAACGGAACGCUAAUACCGCAUACGUCCUACGGGAGAAAGCAGGGGACCUUCGGGCCUUGCGCUAUCAGAUGAGCCUAGGUCGGAUUAGCUAGUUGGUGGGGUAAUGGCUCACCAAGGCGACGAUCCGUAACUGGUCUGAGAGGAUGAUCAGUCACACUGGAACUGAGACACGGUCCAGACUCCUACGGGAGGCAGCAGUGGGGAAUAUUGGACAAUGGGCGAAAGCCUGAUCCAGACAUGCCGCGUGUGUGAAGAAGGUCUUCGGAUUGUAAAGCACUUUAAGUUGGGAGGAAGGGCAGUAAGCGAAUACCUUGCUGUUUUGACGUUACCGACAGAAUAAGCACCGGCUAACUCUGUGCCAGCAGCCGCGGUAA
Molecule: ribosomal RNA, 500 nt
Filed under: uncultured bacterium
Lineage: Bacteria
Description: partial 16S ribosomal RNA
Rfam family: Bacterial small subunit ribosomal RNA
Source: RNAcentral